CCUACGGGUGGCAGCAGUGGGGAAUAUUGCACAAUGGGGGAAACCCUGAUGCAGCAACGCCGCGUGAGUGAGGAAGUAUUUCGGUAUGUAAAGCUCUAUCAGCAGGGAAUAGAAAAGCAGGUACCUGAAAAAGACGCCCCGGCUAACUACGUGCCAGCAGCCGCGGUAAUACGUAGGGGGCAAGCGUUAUCCGGAUUUACUGGGUGUAAAGGGGGCGCAGACGGCAGCGCAAGCCAGGAGUGAAAGCCCGGGGCCCAACCCCGGGACUGCUCUUGGAACUGCGCGGCUGGAGUGCAGGAGGGGCAGGCGGAAUUCCUGGUGUAGCGGUGAAAUGCGUAGAUAUCAGGAGGAACACCGGUGGCGAAGGCGGCCUGCUGGACUGCGACUGACGUUGAGGCCCGAAAGCGUGGGGAGCAAACAGGAUUAGAUACCCUUGUAGUC
RNAcentral lists this ribosomal RNA (441 nucleotides) under uncultured bacterium. Its description in RNAcentral is "partial 16S ribosomal RNA". It matches the Rfam family "Bacterial small subunit ribosomal RNA", at positions 338 to 795 of the family's 1533-position model. The record is from RNAcentral.